GCGAACGCUGGCGGCAGGCUUAACACAUGCAAGUCGCACGGGCAUCUUCGGAUGUCAGUGGCAGACGGGUGAGUAACACGUGGGAACGUACCCUUCGGUUCGGAAUAACUCAGGGAAACUUGAGCUAAUACCGGAUACGCCCUUUUGGGGAAAGGUUUACUGCCGAAGGAUCGGCCCGCGUCUGAUUAGCUUGUUGGUGGGGUAACGGCCUACCAAGGCGACGAUCAGUAGCUGGUCUGAGAGGAUGAUCAGCCACACUGGGACUGAGACACGGCCCAGACUCCUACGGGAGGAAGCAGUGGGGAAUAUUGGACAAUGGGCGCAAGCCUGAUCCAGCCAUGCCGCGUGAGUGAUGAAGGCCUUAGGGUUGUAAAGCUCUUUUGUCCGGGACGAUAAUGACGGUACCGGAAGAAUAAGCCCCGGCUAACUUCGUG
This 434-nucleotide ribosomal RNA is filed under the name uncultured bacterium. Its description in RNAcentral is "partial 16S ribosomal RNA". It matches the Rfam family "Bacterial small subunit ribosomal RNA", at positions 29 to 507 of the family's 1533-position model. The record is from RNAcentral.